RNAcentral lists this ribosomal RNA (206 nucleotides) under Pestalotiopsis sp. EN 10. RNAcentral's name for it is "5.8S ribosomal RNA". The stretch from base 29 to 182 matches the Rfam family "5.8S ribosomal RNA". Rfam says of the family: 5.8S ribosomal RNA (5.8S rRNA) is a component of the large subunit of the eukaryotic ribosome. It is transcribed by RNA polymerase I as part of the 45S precursor that also contains 18S and 28S rRNA. Functionally, it is thought that 5.8S rRNA may be involved in ribosome translocation. Lineage: Eukaryota; Fungi; Ascomycota; Sordariomycetes; Amphisphaeriales; Sporocadaceae. RNAcentral also lists the same sequence under 1 other name. The record is from RNAcentral.
AUCUGAGCGUCUUAUUUUAAUAAGUCAAAACUUUCAACAACGGAUCUCUUGGUUCUGGCAUCGAUGAAGAACGCAGCGAAAUGCGAUAAGUAAUGUGAAUUGCAGAAUUCAGUGAAUCAUCGAAUCUUUGAACGCACAUUGCGCCCAUUAGUAUUCUAGUGGGCAUGCCUGUUCGAGCGUCAUUUCAACCCUUAAGCCUAGCUUAG